CCCCCNCANUNAAGGGUNAGAGCCCCGUNNGGUAGGAUGCCAAGCCUAUGUAANGCUCCUUCGACAAGUCGGAGUAGUUUGGGAANNCUGCUCAAAAUGGGAGGUANAUGUCUUCUAAAGCUAAAUACCGNCCAGAGACCGAUAGCGCNCAAGUAGAGGUGAUCGAAAGAUGAAAAGCACUUUGAAAAGAGGGUUAAAAAGUACGUGAAAUUGUUGAAAGGNAAGCGCCUAUGACCAGNCUUGGGCCCGGUGAAUCAUCCAGCGUUCUCGCUGGUGCACUUUGCCGGGCACAGGCCAGCAUCAGUUUGGCGCGGGGGAUAAAGGCUUCGGGAAUGUGGCUCCCCUCGGGGAGUGUUAUAGCCCGUUGUGUAAUACCCUGCGCCGGACUGAGGUACGCGCUCCGCAAGGAUGCUGGCGUAAUGGUCACCAUAGA
RNAcentral lists this ribosomal RNA (433 nucleotides) under uncultured cf. Hypocrea sp. RNAcentral's name for it is "partial 28S ribosomal RNA". It matches the Rfam family "Eukaryotic large subunit ribosomal RNA", at positions 197 to 644 of the family's 3401-position model. Lineage: Eukaryota; Fungi; Ascomycota; Sordariomycetes; Hypocreales; Hypocreaceae. The record is from RNAcentral.